Molecule: ribosomal RNA, 742 nt
Filed under: uncultured bacterium
Lineage: Bacteria
Description: bacterial SSU rRNA
Rfam family: Bacterial small subunit ribosomal RNA
Source: RNAcentral
AGUCGAGCGCAGGAAGCUCACGGAACUCUUCGGAGGGAAGUGAAGGGAAUGAGCGGCGGACGGGUGAGUAACACGUAAGGAACCUGCCCCAAGGAUUGGGAUAACUCCGAGAAAUCGGAGCUAAUACCGAAUAGUUCUUCAGACCGCAUGGUCUGAUGAUGAAAGGCGCUCCGGCGUCACCUUGGGAUGGCCUUGCGGUGCAUUAGCUAGUUGGUGGGGUAAUGGCCCACCAAGGCGACGAUGCAUAGCCGACCUGAGAGGGUGAUCGGCCACACUGGGACUGAGACACGGCCCAGACUCCUACGGGAGGCAGCAGUAGGGAAUCUUCCACAAUGGACGAAAGUCUGAUGGAGCAACGCCGCGUGAGUGAUGAAGGUUUUCGGAUCGUAAAACUCUGUUGUAAGGGAAGAACAAGUACGAGAGGUAAUGCUCGUACCUUGACGGUACCUUGCGAGAAAGCCACGGCUAACUACGUGCCAGCAGCCGCGGUAAUACGUAGGUGGCAAGCGUUGUCCGGAAUUAUUGGGCGUAAAGCGCGCGCAGGCGGCCUUUUAAGUCUGAUGUGAAAGCCCCCGGCUCAACCGGGGAGGGUCAUUGGAAACUGGAAGGCUUGAGUACAGAAGAGAAGAGUGGAAUUCCAUGUGUAGCGGUGAAAUGCGUAGAGAUGUGGAGGAACACCAGUGGCGAAAGCGACUCUUUGGUCUGUAACUGACGCUGAGGCGCGAAAGCGUGGGGAGCAAAC